Long non-coding RNA from Canis lupus familiaris (dog), 694 nucleotides. RefSeq lists it as uncharacterized. NCBI's taxonomy places the organism in Eukaryota, Metazoa, Chordata, Mammalia, Carnivora, Canidae. The record is from RefSeq and is a predicted model, not a curated record. The transcript is spliced from 3 exons.
AGGAGCAUUGGACGCCCAUCUAAAGGAAAGUGGCACGCACGAAACCCUCUGCCCGACAGAUUCCAUCCCAAGUGGAUCUCUUCAGGGAUCCCGGGAGGGGACGGCUCCAGAGGAAGGAUAUCUCCAAAGACGAGGCUCCCUCGGCCUGAGUCGCAGACAGUGAUGCCGGGAGGGAGGCAAAGGAACUUGGAGGCAGCGGGUCCUGAGGCAGGUGCAGCUGCGGGAGCAGCCCCAUCAUUGCCUAGCGGCUCCUUCACCAGUUCCUUGUCGAAGAAAACGAAGCGCCGCCACUGCAGGUAGGCCGCCAUCUUGGCCGAAGGUCCCCGCCUCCAGGAGGGAGGUCAUGUGAGAGGAGCGCGCGGGUCACGUGACGGGACAGCUUCCUGGAGCCUGAGUGCACAUGCGCCGUGGAGUCCGAGUGACAGCUUCCCCAGGGCGGUAGGCGGGGCGACCGGAGAUUUUACUUUUAUUUAGAGAGAGCACGUGCAAGCAGGGGGAGGAGCAGAGGGAGAGGGAGAGAGAGUCCCAGGCAGACUCCCAGCCAAGUGCGGAGCUCCACACCAGGCUGGAUCCCAUGACCCUGAAAUCAUGACCUGAGCCGAAAUCACGACCUACCCUUUCAACCGACUGAACCAUCCAGGCACCCCAGACACAGAAAGAGAGAGAGAAAGAGGCAGAGACACAGGAGGAGGAG